Molecule: transfer RNA, 73 nt
Filed under: Candidatus Magasanikbacteria bacterium RIFCSPHIGHO2_02_FULL_47_14
Lineage: Bacteria; Candidatus Magasanikiibacteriota
Description: tRNA-Ala
Rfam family: tRNA
About the family: Transfer RNA (tRNA) molecules are approximately 80 nucleotides in length. Their secondary structure includes four short double-helical elements and three loops (D, anti-codon, and T loops). Further hydrogen bonds mediate the characteristic L-shaped molecular structure. tRNAs have two regions of fundamental functional importance: the anti-codon, which is responsible for specific mRNA codon recognition, and the 3' end, to which the tRNAs corresponding amino acid is attached (by aminoacyl-tRNA synthetases). tRNAs cope with the degeneracy of the genetic code in two manners: having more than one tRNA (with a specific anti-codon) for a particular amino acid; and 'wobble' base-pairing, i.e. permitting non-standard base-pairing at the 3rd anti-codon position.
Source: RNAcentral
GGGCCAGUAGCUCAUCUGGUAGAGCGCAGCAUUCGCAUUGCUGAGGUAAGGGGUUCGAUUCCCCUCUGGUCCA